AGUGAACGCUGGCGGUAGGCCUAACACAUGCAAGUCGAACGGCAGCGCAGUAAGAGCUUGCUCUUACGGGUGGCGAGUGGCGGACGGGUGAGGAAUACAUCGGAAUCUACUUUUUCGUGGGGGAUGACGUAGGGAAACUUACGCUAAUACCGCAUACGACCUACGGGUGAAAGCAGGGGAUCUUCGGACCUUGCGCGAUUGAAUGAGCCGAUGUCGGAUUAGCUAGUUGGCGGGGUAAAGGCCCACCAAGGCGACGAUCCGUAGCUGGUCUGAGAGGAUGAUCAGCCACACUGGAACUGAGACACGGUCCAGACUCCUACGGGAGGCAGCAGUGGGGAAUAUUGGACAAUGGGCGCAAGCCUGAUCCAGCCAUACCGCGUGGGUGAAGAAGGCCUUCGGGUUGUAAAGCCCUUUUGUUGGGAAAGAAAAGCAGCAGGUUAAUACCCCGCUGUUCUGACGGUACCCAAAGAAUAAGCACCGGCUAACUUCGUG
This 492-nucleotide ribosomal RNA is filed under the name uncultured bacterium. RNAcentral describes it as "partial 16S ribosomal RNA". It matches the Rfam family "Bacterial small subunit ribosomal RNA", at positions 29 to 507 of the family's 1533-position model. The record is from RNAcentral.